This 170-nucleotide small nuclear RNA is filed under the name Pogona vitticeps (central bearded dragon). RNAcentral describes it as "U1 spliceosomal RNA (ENSPVIG00000016060.1)". It matches the Rfam family "U1 spliceosomal RNA". Rfam says of the family: U1 is a small nuclear RNA (snRNA) component of the spliceosome (involved in pre-mRNA splicing). Its 5' end forms complementary base pairs with the 5' splice junction, thus defining the 5' donor site of an intron. The record is from RNAcentral. Lineage: Eukaryota; Metazoa; Chordata; Lepidosauria; Squamata; Agamidae.
ACUCAUACCUUGUAGGGGAAAUACGUACCAUGUUGUUAAAAUAGUUUUCCCAGGGAGAGGCUCGUCCAUUGCAGUUUGGGUGUGCUGUUGACCCCUGUGAUUUCCCCAAAUGUGGGGAACUCAACUGCAUAAUUAGUGUUAAUGGGGGCAUUAUGUUUAUGAUUUCUCUG